GAGGGUGUAGCUCAGUGGUAGAGUGUGUGUUUAGCAUGUGCAAGGCCCUGGUUUCAAUCCCCAGCACCAUUA
RNAcentral lists this transfer RNA (72 nucleotides) under Marmota marmota marmota (Alpine marmot). It matches the Rfam family "tRNA". Rfam says of the family: Transfer RNA (tRNA) molecules are approximately 80 nucleotides in length. The record is from Rfam by way of RNAcentral. RNAcentral also lists the same sequence under 1 other name. Lineage: Eukaryota; Metazoa; Chordata; Mammalia; Rodentia; Sciuridae.